This 301-nucleotide ribosomal RNA is filed under the name uncultured bacterium. RNAcentral describes it as "partial 16S ribosomal RNA". It matches the Rfam family "Bacterial small subunit ribosomal RNA", at positions 509 to 809 of the family's 1533-position model. The record is from RNAcentral.
CAGCAGCCGCGGUAAUACGUAGGGUGCAAGCGUUAAUCGGAAUUACUGGGCGUAAAGCGUGCGCAGGCGGUUAUGUAAGACAGUUGUGAAAUCCCCGGGCUCAACCUGGGAACUGCAUCUGUGACUGCAUAGCUAGAGUACGGUAGAGGGGGAUGGAAUUCCGCGUGUAGCAGUGAAGUGCGUAGAUAUGCGGAGGAACACCGAUGGCGUAGGCAAUCCCCUGGACCUGUACUGACGCUCAUGCACGAAAGCGUGGGGAGCAAACAGGAUUAGAUACCCCCGUAGUCCUGUCUCUUAUACA